RNAcentral lists this ribosomal RNA (506 nucleotides) under uncultured bacterium. RNAcentral's name for it is "partial 16S ribosomal RNA". It matches the Rfam family "Bacterial small subunit ribosomal RNA", at positions 29 to 523 of the family's 1533-position model. The record is from RNAcentral.
AGUGAACGCUGGCGGUAGGCCUAACACAUGCAAGUCGAACGGCAGCACAGGAGAGCUUGCUCUCUGGGUGGCGAGUGGCGGACGGGUGAGGAAUACAUCGGAAUCUACUCUGUCGUGGGGGAUAACGUAGGGAAACUUACGCUAAUACCGCAUACGAUCUACGGGUGAAAGCAGGGGAUCUUCGGACCUUGCGCGAUUGAAUGAGCCGAUGUCGGAUUAGCUAGUUGGCGGGGUAAAGGCCCACCAAGGCGACGAUCCGUAGCUGGUCUGAGAGGAUGAUCAGCCACACUGGAACUGAGACACGGUCCAGACUCCUACGGGAGGCAGCAGUGGGGAAUAUUGGACAAUGGGCGCAAGCCUGAUCCAGCCAUACCGCGUGGGUGAAGAAGGCCUUCGGGUUGUAAAGCCCUUUUGUUGGGAAAGAAAUCCAGCUGGCUAAUACCCGGUUGGGAUGACGGUACCCAAAGAGUAAGCACCGGCUAACUUCGUGCCAGCCGCCACGGUAA